CAGCAGCCACGGUAAUACGUAGGUGGCAAGCGUUGUCCGGAAUUAUUGGGCGUAAAGGGCUCGCAGGCGGUUUCUUAAGCCUGAUGUGAAAGCCCCCGGCUCAACCGGGGAGGGUCAUUGGAAACUGGGAAACUUGAGUGCAGAAGAGGAGAGUGGAAUUCCACGUGUAGCGGUGAAAUGCGUAGAGACGUGGAGGAACACCAGUGGCGAAGGCGACUCUCUGGUCUGUAACUGACGCUGAGGAGCGAAAGCGUGGGGAGCGAACAGGAUUAGAUACCCCCGUAGUCCCUGUCUCUUAUAC
Molecule: ribosomal RNA, 301 nt
Filed under: uncultured bacterium
Lineage: Bacteria
Description: partial 16S ribosomal RNA
Rfam family: Bacterial small subunit ribosomal RNA
Source: RNAcentral